Molecule: transfer RNA, 67 nt
Filed under: Panulirus argus (Caribbean spiny lobster)
Lineage: Eukaryota; Metazoa; Arthropoda; Malacostraca; Decapoda; Palinuridae
Description: tRNA-Gly
Source: RNAcentral
AACUUUUUAGUAUAGUUAAGUACCCUCGUCUUCCAAACGAGAAGUCUAGUUUUAUUUAGAGAAGUUA